GAUGAACGCUGACAGAAUGCUUAACACAUGCAAGUCAACCUGAAUUUGGGUUUUUAACUUAGGUUUGGGUGGCGGACGGGUGAGUAACGCGUAAAGAACUUGCCUCACAGCUAGGGACAACAUUUGGAAACGAAUGCUAAUACCUAAUAUUAUGAUAAUAGGGCAUCCUAUAAUUAUGAAAGCUAUAAGCGCUGUGAGAGAGCUUUGCGUCCCAUUAGCUAGUUGGAGAGGUAACGGCUCACCAAGGCGAUGAUGGGUAGCCGGCCUGAGAGGGUGAUCGGCCACAAGGGGACUGAGACACGGCCCUUACUCCUACGGGAGGCAGCAGUGGGGAAUAUUGGAAAAUGGACCAAGAGUGUGAUCAAGCAAUUCUGUGUGCACGAUGAAGUUUUUCGGAAUGUAAAGUGCUUUCAGUUGGGAAGAAAGAAAUGACGGUACCAACAGAAGAAGUGACGGCUAAAUACGUG
Molecule: ribosomal RNA, 467 nt
Filed under: uncultured bacterium
Lineage: Bacteria
Description: partial 16S ribosomal RNA
Rfam family: Bacterial small subunit ribosomal RNA
Source: RNAcentral